AUGAAUGCCUCCAAAUACUCGGAUAUUCGAUCUGUGUUCACCUCUAUUUACGAAUACAGUUGAUUUUUUUAUAUGAAAAAAAUUUACUAAUGUCAAGGCCUUUUUAAUUUUUAAUUAGUUUUAAUUUUAUCUGUCAUGUAUUAUUUAGAACAAAAAUGUUAUUAAUAUUAAUUAACAAUAUCUUUAUAUAUUUGUCAUUUAUUUUUAUAUACUUUUAUAUACACAUACAUGUGCACCUUGAUGUGAGCACUUUAUAAGUAUUUACCACUACUGAAAUAUCUAUAUUUUUUUUUGAAGUUGAAAUAUUUUUUUCUUAAUGCUUCUUUCACUACCGACCAAAUUGUAGUGAAAUGAUUAGUCUUAAUAAUUUUCUUUUCUUUUUC
RNAcentral lists this long non-coding RNA (383 nucleotides) under Brassica rapa (field mustard). RNAcentral's name for it is "long non-coding RNA (BRAP_LNC003048)". Lineage: Eukaryota; Viridiplantae; Streptophyta; Magnoliopsida; Brassicales; Brassicaceae. The record is from RNAcentral.